This 567-nucleotide ribosomal RNA is filed under the name uncultured bacterium. RNAcentral describes it as "partial 16S ribosomal RNA". It matches the Rfam family "Bacterial small subunit ribosomal RNA", at positions 355 to 909 of the family's 1533-position model. The record is from RNAcentral.
UGGGGAAUAUUGCACAAUGGGCGCAAGCCCGAUGCAGCCAUGCCGCGUGUGUGAAGAAGGCCUUCGGGUUGUAAAGCACUUUCAGCGAGGAGGAAGGUGGUGAACUUAAUACGUUCAUCAAUUGACGUUACUCGCAGAAGAAGCACCGGCUAANUCCGUGCCAGCAGCCGCGGUAAUACGGAGGGUGCAAGCGUUAAUCGGAAUUACUGGGCGUAAAGCGCACGCAGGCGGUUUGUUAAGUCAGNUGUGAAAUCCCCGGGGCUCAACCUGGGAACUGCAUUUGAAACUGGCAAGCUAGAGUCUCGUAGAGGGGGGUAGAAUUCCAGGUGUAGCGGUGAAAUGCGUAGAGAUCUGGAGGAAUACCGGUGGCGAAGGCGGCCCCCUGGACGAAGAUUGACGCUCAGGUGCGAAAGCGUGGGGCAGCAAACAGGAUUAGAUACCCUGGUAGUCCACGCUGUAAAACGAUGUCGAUUUUGGAGGUUGUGCCCUUGAGGCGUGGCUUCCGGGGCUAACGCGUUAAAGUCGACCGCCUGGGGAGUACGGCCGCAAGGUUAAAACUCAAAGGAA